CCUACGGGAGGCUGCAGUGGGGAAUUUUGCGCAAUGGGCGAAAGCCUGACGCAGUAAUGCCGCGUGAUCGAAGAAGCUUCGAGGAGUGUAAAGAUCUGUCGUUAGGGAAGAAAUAUAAUUAGUCUAACAAACUAAUUUUUUGACGGUACCUAGCAAGAAAGCCCCGGCUAACUUCGUGCCAGCAGCCGCGGUAAUACGAGGGGGGCAAGCGUUAUCCGGAUUCAUUGGGCGUAAAGGGUUCGUAGGCUGACCGAUCAGUCAAAAUUGAAAGACCUUGACUUAAUCAAGGGAACGGUUUUGAUACUGUCGGUCUUGAGUGAGGUAGAGGUGAAUAGAAUUCCUGGUGUAGCGGUGAAAUGCAUAGAUAUCAGGAGGAAUACCAAAGGCGAAGGCAGUUCACUGGACCUAUACUGACGCUGAGGAACGAAAGCGUGGGGAGC
This 440-nucleotide ribosomal RNA is filed under the name uncultured bacterium. RNAcentral's name for it is "bacterial SSU rRNA". It matches the Rfam family "Bacterial small subunit ribosomal RNA", at positions 338 to 769 of the family's 1533-position model. The record is from RNAcentral.